Molecule: ribosomal RNA, 426 nt
Filed under: uncultured bacterium
Lineage: Bacteria
Description: bacterial SSU rRNA
Rfam family: Bacterial small subunit ribosomal RNA
Source: RNAcentral
UGGGGAAUUUUGGACAAUGGGCGCAAGCCUGAUCCAGCCAUGCCGCGUGCAGGAUGAAGGCCUUCGGGUUGUAAACUGCUUUUGUACGGAACGAAAAGGUGCCUUCUAAUAAAGGGCGCUCAUGACGGUACCGUAAGAAUAAGCACCGGCUAACUACGUGCCAGCAGCCGCGGUAAUACGUAGGGUGCGAGCGUUAAUCGGAAUUACUGGGCGUAAAGCGUGCGCAGGCGGUUUUGUAAGACAGAGGUGAAAUCCCCGGGCUCAACCUGGGAACUGCCGUUGUGACUGCAAGGCUGGAGUGCGGCAGAGGGGGAUGGAAUUCCGCGUGUAGCAGUGAAAUGCGUAGAUAUGCGGAGGAACACCGAUGGCGAAGGCAAUCCCCUGGGCCUGCACUGACGCUCAUGCACGAAAGCGUGGGGAGCAAAC